GACGAACGCUGGCGGCGUGCUUAACACAUGCAAGUCGAACGGUAAGGCCCUUCGGGGUACACGAGUGGCGAACGGGUGAGUAACACGUGGGUGAUCUGCCCUGCACUUCGGGAUAAGCCUGGGAAACUGGGUCUAAUACCGGAGAGGACCACUGCCUGCAUGGGUGGUGGUGGAAAGCUUUUGCGGUGUAGGAUGGGCCCGCGGCCUAUCAGCUUGUUGGUGGGGUGAUGGCCUACCGAGGCGACGACGGGUAGCCGGCCUGAGAGGGUGACCGGCCACACUGGGACUGAGAUACGGCCCAGACUCCUACGGGAGGCAGCAGUGGGGAAUAUUGCACAAUGAGCGCAAGCCUGAUGCAGCGACGCCGCGUGAGGGAUGACGGCCUUCGGGUUGUAAACCUCUUUCAGCACCGACGAAGCGCAAGUGACGGUAGGUGCAGAAGAAGGACCGGCCAACUACGUGCCAGCAGCCGCGGUAA
RNAcentral lists this ribosomal RNA (478 nucleotides) under uncultured bacterium. RNAcentral describes it as "partial 16S ribosomal RNA". It matches the Rfam family "Bacterial small subunit ribosomal RNA", at positions 28 to 523 of the family's 1533-position model. The record is from RNAcentral.